CGGCGUGCCUAACACAUGCAAGUCGUACGAGAAAGUUGGCUUCGGCUGAUGAGUAAAGUGGCGCACGGGUGAGUAAUGCGUGGAUAAUCUGCCCUUUAGUUGGGAAUAACGUACCGAAAGGUGCGCUAAUACCUGAUAAUACUGCAUAACUACUGUUGUGUAGUCAAAGAAGGCCUCUGUUUACAAGCUUUUGCUGAAGGAUGAGUCCGCGUACCAUUAGCUGGUUGGUGGGGUAAUGGCCUACCAAGGCUACGAUGGUUAGCUGGUCUGAGAGGAUGAUCAGCCACACUGGAACUGAGACACGGUCCAGACUCCUACGGGAGGCAGCAGUGAGGAAUAUUGCGCAAUGGGGGCAACCCUGACGCAGCAACGCCGCGUGAGUGAGGAAGGUUUUCGGACCGUAAAGCUCUGUCGAGCGGGAAGAAAUGUAUCAUGGCUAAUAUCCAUGAUACUUGACGGUACCGCUAAAGGAAGCACCGGCUAACUCCGUG
RNAcentral lists this ribosomal RNA (491 nucleotides) under uncultured bacterium. Its description in RNAcentral is "bacterial SSU rRNA". It matches the Rfam family "Bacterial small subunit ribosomal RNA", at positions 40 to 507 of the family's 1533-position model. The record is from RNAcentral.